Molecule: long non-coding RNA, 250 nt
Filed under: Equus caballus (horse)
Lineage: Eukaryota; Metazoa; Chordata; Mammalia; Perissodactyla; Equidae
Description: lncRNA (ENSECAG00000041833.2)
Source: RNAcentral
CGGGAAGCAGGAGCCCUAACAAUGAAAUAAUACGAUAGAAGGGAGUCCUCUCUGAUGAUUCCAUGGAGCCACCACGGCAGCGAUGGGAUGUCUACCUCUGACUUCAUGAUACACAAGUGAAGGGACAACCACAAGCUCAUCCUCAGAGGUAAACUGAAGUCAAUAAUUCACACUUGGCUGAUGAAUCUUCAAGGUAUUAAUCUUCUCCUGGUAUUUUCGGUAUUUCUUCUCCAUCCACUUGGCAAUUCAA